GCUUGCUCCUGGAUUCAGCGGCGGACGGGUGAGUAAUGCCUAGGAAUCUGCCUGGUAGUGGGGGAUAACGUCCGGAAACGGGCGCUAAUACCGCAUACGUCCUGAGGGAGAAAGUGGGGGAUCUUCGGACCUCACGCUAUCAGAUGAGCCUAGGUCGGAUUAGCUAGUUGGUGGGGUAAAGGCCUACCAAGGCGACGAUCCGUAACUGGUCUGAGAGGAUGAUCAGUCACACUGGAACUGAGACACGGUCCAGACUCCUACGGGAGGCAGCAGUGGGGAAUAUUGGACAAUGGGCGAAAGCCUGAUCCAGCCAUGCCGCGUGUGUGAAGAAGGUCUUCGGAUUGUAAAGCACUUUAAGUUGGGAGGAAGGGCAGUAAGUUAAUACCUUGCUGUUUUGACGUUACCAACAGAAUAAGCACCGGCUAACUUCGUGCCAGCAGCCGCGGUAAUACGAAGGGUGCAAGCGUUAAUCGGAAUUACUGGGCGUAAAGCGCGCGUAGGUGGUUCAGCAAGUUGGAUGUGAAAUCCCCGGGCUCAACCUGGGAACUGCAUCCAAAACUACUGAGCUAGAGUACGGUAGAGGGUGGUGGAAUUUCCUGUGUAGCGGUGAAAUGCGUAGA
RNAcentral lists this ribosomal RNA (620 nucleotides) under Pseudomonas aeruginosa. RNAcentral describes it as "bacterial SSU rRNA". It matches the Rfam family "Bacterial small subunit ribosomal RNA", at positions 78 to 694 of the family's 1533-position model. The record is from RNAcentral. Lineage: Bacteria; Pseudomonadati; Pseudomonadota; Gammaproteobacteria; Pseudomonadales; Pseudomonadaceae. RNAcentral also lists the same sequence under 1 other name.